Molecule: ribosomal RNA, 346 nt
Filed under: Salmonella enterica
Lineage: Bacteria; Pseudomonadati; Pseudomonadota; Gammaproteobacteria; Enterobacterales; Enterobacteriaceae
Description: partial 23S ribosomal RNA
Rfam family: Bacterial large subunit ribosomal RNA
Source: RNAcentral
UACGCGAGCUGGGUUUAGAACGUCGUGAGACAGUUCGGUCCCUAUCUGUCGUGGGCGCUGGAGAACUGAGGGGGGCUGCUCCUAGUACGAGAGGACCGGAGUGGACGCAUCACUGGUGUUCGGGUUGUCAUGCCAAUGGCACUGCCCGGUAGCUAAAUGCGGAAGAGAUAAGUGCUGAAAGCAUCUAAGCACGAAACUUGCCCCGAGAUGAGUUCUCCCUGAGACUUAGAGUCUCCUGAAGGAACGUUGAAGACGACGACGUUGAUAGGCCGGGUGUGUAAGCGCAGCGAUGCGUUGAGCUAACCGGUACUAAUGAACCGUGAGGCUUAACCUUACAACGCCGAAG